UAUUUUAAAUAAUUACCUAAGACAGUAGGAGUACACAGUGCUUAAAACAUCAUCCUGCCGAGGCAACGAAAACGACUUGAAUCUUAUUUUUAAAUAUUCAAGCACUUUUUGCCGUGGGUAAAAGGUGCUUUUUUAAU
RNAcentral lists this small RNA (137 nucleotides) under Candidatus Salinicoccus stercoripullorum. Its description in RNAcentral is "Ribosomal protein L10 leader". It matches the Rfam family "Ribosomal protein L10 leader". From Rfam's summary of the family: This family is a putative r-protein leader autoregulatory structure found in B. subtilis and other low-GC Gram-positive bacteria. The record is from RNAcentral. Lineage: Bacteria; Bacillati; Bacillota; Bacilli; Caryophanales; Staphylococcaceae.